CAGCCGCCGCGGGAAUACGAAGGGUGCAAGCGUUACUCGGAAUUACUGGGCGUAAAGCGUGCGUAGGUGGUGGUUUAAGUCCGUUGUGAAAGCCCUGGGCUCAACCUGGGAAUUGCAGUGGAUACUGGGUCACUAGAGUGUGGUAGAGGAUAGUGGAAUUUCCGGUGUAGCAGUGAAAUGCGUAGAGAUCGGAAGGAACAUCUGUGGCGAAGGCGGCCAUCUGGGACAACACUGACGCUGAGGCACGAAAGCGUGGGGAGCAAACAGGAUUAGAUACCCGCGUAGUCCCUGUCUCUUAUAC
RNAcentral lists this ribosomal RNA (301 nucleotides) under uncultured bacterium. Its description in RNAcentral is "partial 16S ribosomal RNA". It matches the Rfam family "Bacterial small subunit ribosomal RNA", at positions 509 to 807 of the family's 1533-position model. The record is from RNAcentral.